RNAcentral lists this long non-coding RNA (15507 nucleotides) under Cicer arietinum (chickpea). RNAcentral describes it as "long non-coding RNA (CARI_LNC003190)". Lineage: Eukaryota; Viridiplantae; Streptophyta; Magnoliopsida; Fabales; Fabaceae. The record is from RNAcentral.
AAGUACAAACUGAGUGGAUAUUGUGAUUCUGAUUGUGCUGAAGAUAAAUUUGAGAGAAAGCGCACUAGUGGCAACUACACCUUUCUUGGUUACAACUUAAUAUCUUGGUCAAGUAAGAUACAAAACACCAUUGCAAUGUCAACAACAAAGGCCAAGUACAUUUCAGUAGCUGACUGCAGCUCUCAACUACUUUGGAUGAAACAUCAACUUGAAGACAAAAAAAUCCUAGAACCCAACAUUCCCAUCUAUUGUGAUAAAACUUCUGCAAUUUGUCUAACCAAAAACUCUAUCUUACAUUCUAGAGCUAAACACAAAGAUAUCAAACACCACUUCAUUACAAACUUUGUUCAAAAAGGGGUACUAAACAUUCAAUUUGUAGAUACUAAGCACCAAUGGGCUAUUCACCAAACCACCACCUGAAGAUAGGUUUGACUUCAUCAAGAAAAACCUAAGCCUUACCGUCAUACUUGACUGAUGUUGUGAUCAAUUCAAAAUAAUUUAGCUUUACAUUAGUUUUUAUAUUUUCUUGUAAUAUGUUAUAUUCAUGUUAAUAAAAAAAACGAAAAAAAAAAACAAAAAAAAUAAAUGAAAGAAAAAAAAAGUCUCACCUUCAAGUCUUAUUGUCUGAUGACAAAAGGGAGAGAAAUAUAUUUCAUAAAGUGGGAGAGAAAAUGAUACUUAGACUCAGGGGGAGCCGUAAAUUAGGGGGAGUUAAAUAAAUAUAAAGAAAAGUUGUUAUAAAAAAAUAUAAAUUUUGUCAUAAUAAAAAAGAGGGAGAUUGUUGGAACCAAGUUGAUUUUAUACUUAGAGUUUUUAUGAUAACAAAAGUAUUUUAUGAGAACAAUAUAUUUGACUUCUUAGAGUAUGAAAUAAGAUAUGGUCAAGAUUUGAAGAAGAUUUUGUCAAAAUUUAUCUACACCAAAAUAUGAACAUAAUCAAUUUGAAGAAUUUAUACUUAGAGUUUUUAUGAUAACAAAAGUAUUUUAUGAUAACAAUAUAUUUGACUUCCAAGAGUAUGAAAGAAGAUAUAGCCCAGAUUUGAAGAAGACUUGAUCAAGAUUUAUCUAUAGCAAAAUAUUAACAGAAUCAAUUUGAAGAAUUUAAAAAAAAAUCUAAACAAAAUACGAACAAAAUCAAUUUGAAGAAUUUACAAUCUCAAUCGAAACAAAAUAGGUACACAAUGUAUCCGAAGAAUAUACUAAUGCAAUCUGAACAAAAUACAAUUGAGAAUUAAACAAGGACUAAAUUAAAGCCCAAGAGUAGUAGUCAAGGCUGGAGAAGAAAAUCAUCGAAAAACAUAAAAGAUAAGUCCUAGAUUUCGAAGAGAGAAACACUUGUUCGAACGAGAAAUACUCUCUAAGUGUUUUUUCUUAGAAUGUGAGUGUUAUUAUUAUUAUCAGCUUUGUUAGAAGCAAACACUUAAAGUUUCAAUAUUUUUAUCCAACCCUAUAGUGGCUUAGUUCAUUCUUCAAUCUGUAGUUGUCAGGUUGUCAGGAGAAUACUUGGCUUGUAGGGUCAAUGUCGUUAGCUCCUCAAAAGUUUGGGGUUCUCAGGCUGUUUGAAAAGACUGAAUUGGAGGGCCAGGUACUUUGUAAUUCAAGGUAAUUGAAUUAGUGGAUUAAAGCCUUCUGAAUGAGGGGACUGGAUCUAUCCAAGUUAGUGGUGAACCAGAAUAAAUUUAUUUGUCAAAUUAUUUAAGCUUUCAUUGUUUGCUACCUCUGAAUUUGAUUGCUUCUUCUCCAAGUAAGUCACCAAAAUCGAACUAGUUUAUUUAUUUAUUUAUAAAUUAUCAAAAAGUUAUCAACUUUAUCAAACACAAUUCAACCCCUCUUUCUAGUGUAUAUGAGAAUUAAUAAUCCAAUAUAAUAUCCAUAUCAUUUUGAUAGGGAUGGUUUAAUAGCCAAACCUUUUGGGAAUCACAACAUGUUGAGUCUUAUAGUGGUGAUCCUUUCGGUUGAGCUUUAAGGCAAUAUGCAAGUGAAAUAGCAAUGUCGAUUUACAAGGAAGGGGGUUUGAAUUGUAAAUAUAUAUUUUUAAAAAUUCAUGAAAUAAACUCAAGUUUUAACUCAAGAAUGAUAUUGGUUAAGAAAACAGAAAACGGAGAACGUUCUUGGUUUUUUUAUAAAACAGAAAACGUUCUUGGUUAGCUUACAAAACAGAAAAUCAGUUUGUGUUUUAUCUUAGUUAAUCAAUAAAGCUUAAUAAAUAAAGAGAUAAGAUAGAGAAUACCACACAAAGAUAUAUCCUGGUUCACCCAACUCGGGCUACGUCCAGUCCUCACACUGUGAGUUUUUCCACUAAGUGUUUAAAACAAAGAACCUUUUUGAUUUUACAGCAUCUAGUUCAGAUCAACCUUGAUCUGUUUCAAUCUCUAUUACUUUCCACCCAUAAUAUUAUUUAAUUUUUUUAGAGAGUAAAACUAGAAAGUAUUUGUCCUCUUUCACUAUGUUUAUGUACUCUAGUUCUUGAUUUCUAAGAAAUUGCUCAUGAUACGAAUUCUUGUGUGUAUCUCUAUUUGAAAUUCACGGGGAUAUGAAAUAAUUGAAAAAUUGCUCUCUCUUUCUUACUUAAGGGAAACUUGUUGAGAAAUUGAUAAUAUUAUUUAAUUUUUUUUUAGAGAAUAAAACUUGAAAAUUAUUGUUUGACAAAUUAGUUGGAGUUAACCAUCUAUUUGGCAUAAUAUCGCUUCACUCAACUUUAAGUAAUAAGUUUAUCAUUACUAAAUCUAUAAGACUUAUUUCCUUCGUUCGUGAUUGAAAUAUUAUAUGCAAUUGUUUAAAUGAUUCAUUGUGUCAUGUUAGUUUAUAAUGCUAAGCUAAUUGAUUUUUGACAUGUUGUGCUUAAACGAGUAAUGAAAUUUAGAAUAUAUGUUAAUUAAAUUUAGAAUUAAUUUUCUUUAUAUGAUGUUUUAAUCUUGUACAUGUUAAACUAAAUGAUUGACAUAGAUAUCAAAUAUUAUAUUUUUAUAUUUUUCUAAAAAUAAUAGUAUUUUAGUGUACACAUUUUAAAGUCUAGGAUUUUAGGCGAUUCUACGUGCAUAUAUGCAUUUGUAACUAAUUUGAUGCGCCUUGUAUGUUGACUAAUGUUAAGUGCGCACAUAAUUAUAUUUAAUUAUUUUUAAAUAUAUCUUAUUUUAAUUAAUUAUUUUAUAAAAAAUUAUCUUGAGACAGUAGUAAUAUUGAUAUUGACUUUCUUUAUUUUUAUGUGGUUGUUACGGUAUGAUGAUUUUAUACAUAUUAAUUUUGAUUUAGUAAUUAUUAUAAAUUAUUGAUGUUAUAUUUAUUUAUUUGAUCAUUUCGAUAUUCUAUAAAGAUGAUGUAUUUUAUGUGAUUACUUUGAAAAAUAUUAUAGUAAUAACUAUAGUUAUUAUUUUGAUCAUCACAGUUUUGAUUAAAAUUAUAUUUAUCUAUGUUAAGGAAAAAUAAUAUUAUGUUAAAAUGAGUGUUUUGGAGAAAACGUUUCUAGCGUAGAUAAAUAAAAUAAAUGAUUUAUUAAUGACUUUUAGAAAUACUAGAAAAUAAAUUUUGGACCAGAUAACUGUUUACACCCUUAUUUUCUACUUAUGCAUAUUAAUUUGUGCUAUUAUUGGUUGGACUUUUAUUUCCUACGGUUGCUGCGAAGGACAAUUCUACCCUGCACCCCCAUACCUAAACUUGCCACCCCUCAAGACAAAUGGAAAUACAAUUUUACCCUUUUAACCAUUUAUCAUAAGUUUCAAAAUUGAUAGUUUCGGAAGUUUCAAAUUUUGAAAUUUUCGAAUUUUAAAUUUUUUGAAAUAAGGAUUACGUUUCGAAAAUUUAGAAUGUUUCGUAAGUUUCCAAAUUUGGAAAAUUUCGAAAGUUUCCAAAUUUGGAAAAUUUCGAAAGUUUUGAAUUAUUUGAAAGUUUCAGAAAUUUUGGAAUUCUAUUUCGAAAGUUUCGAAUUGUUCAAAGUUUCGAAAAUUUUAGAAAUUGACAUGUUGAAACUUUCGAACAUUCUAGAAAGAGCGGUGAAAAAAUUAAAAAUUAAAAAUGUUGAAGGGCAAAAUUGUAUUUUUCACGUUGGUUGGGGGUGAGAGGUUUAGAUGUGGAGGUGCAGGGUAGAAUGCUCUGGUGCGAGUUGCUCAUUACACUCCUAUUUCUGUCUCAGACUUUACUAUCACGUGUUGGGUCUUACCGUUUUACUUUUUUUCCUAUACAUCUGCUAUUUGCAACCCCUCCUUCUGCGAUUAAAAGAAUAAAAAUUGAAAAUCAGAUUAAUGGCAACCAAAUUGCAGCAAACCUUUUUUCUCUCAAAUUCACUGCCAACAAUUCUUUGUCAUUUGAAUCGAUCUCAAUCACUGUUCCACACAAAAUCUGCCACCGAAUCUAUUUUUGGUUUCAAUUUUAUCGAUCAUGACUCAUUUUCAUUAGAACUUAUAACUUAAAAGAUAACAUUUUUGAAACUUUUAACUCAAUUUUAUCAAUCAUGGCUUCAAUUUAAUUUGCCACAUUAUACUUUUUUAAAGGAAUUUAUAAAAAAUUUACGUAAGUGGAUUAUAACUUAAAAGUUAAUUUAUUUAUAAUUUAUGGACAACUAAUUAAUUAUUUUUUAUCAACAAAUGUCAAGAUGAAAAUCCAUCUUGAAUCAUUAUUAAUAAUUUUAAUUGUUUACAAUAGUUUUUAUUAAAAAUAAUGCAAUUCAUGAUCAUCUUCUUUCAAUAAAUAUUAGAUUUACUAUACCCAUUAAAUAAACAACUUUUUAAAACUGAAUCUAAGAAAUGAGAAUUCAAAUUUAUGAUCAUAAAUGAACAAAGAGUAGAAAUAUGUCAAAACAAAUAUCUCAUCGCACGAAAUAAAAUUAUUCUCUCAAGAACUAAACCAUUUAAAUUUAUGAAGGUCAAAGAUUAAACCAUUUAAAUUUGUCCAAAAAAAAAAUUUGAAUUUGCAAAAAAAAUAACGUUAUUCAACCAAAUAAACGAAACAAAGGAUUCAAGGACCGAAGGGUCCCCUAAACUUUUAUAAAAUAUUUCGAUAUUAGUACGUUAUUAUAAUUUUUUAUUUCUGUACUAAAUCUCAAUGUUAGUAUGUUAUUAUGUGGAAUGUGUUCAAUUUAAGAUUCUUGGUGCUAUGGGAGCAUUAGACGUUGAUUGUCAAGGUUAAAUUGUGGGUCAAUGUGAGGGAAAUAAAGGAUAGUCUUAUGAACUUUGAAGGUUAAUUUUUAAAAGCGUCUUCUUUUGGGGAUCAAUGUGAAUAAUUCUCGGUUGAAGAGACGAUACAAGUAUUUUAACACUCUAAAUUUUAUAAUAAAUUAUUUUAUUGAUGAAAUAUAAUUUCAAAUAUUUAAACUGAUGUUAAAAUUAUUUUAUAAUAUAUGUUAAUUAAAUUUAGGAUGUUUUAAUCUUGUACAUGUUAGACUAAAUGAGUGAUAUAAAUAUCAAAUAUUAUAUUUUAUAUAUUUUUCUAAAAAUAAUAGUAUUUUAGUGUACACAUUUUAAAGUAUAAGAUUUUAGACGAUUUUACGUGCUUAUGUGUGUUUGUAGUUAAUUUGAUACUUUCUUGUAUGCUGACUAAUGUUAAGUGUGCACACAAUUAUAUUUAAUUAUUUUUAAAUUUAUCUUAUUUUAUUUAAUUUAAUUAUUUUAUAAAUAAUUAUCUUGAGAUAUUAGUAAUAUUGAUAUUGAUUUUCUUUAUUUCUAUAUAGUUGUUACGGUAUGAUGAUUUUUUACAUAUUCAUUUUGAUUUAGUAAUUAAUAUAAAUCACUGAUGUUAUAUUUAUUUAUUUUAUCAUUUCGACUAAUCUAUAAAGAUGUUGUAUUUUUAUAUUAUUAUUUUGAAAAACAUAUUAUAGUAAUAAUUAUAGUUACUAUUUUGAGUAUAAGAGUUUUGACUAAAAUUAGAUUUAUCUAUAUUAAGGAAAAAUAAUAUUAUGUUAGAAUGAGUGUUUUGGAGAAAACGUUUAUAGCGUGGAUAAGUAAAAUAAAUUUUUUAUUAAAGAUUUUUAGAAAUACUAGAAAAUGAAUUUUAGACCAGACGACUGUUUACACCCUUAUUUUUUUUACUUCUGCAUAUUAAUUUGAGCUAUUAUUGGUUGGUUUUUUAUUUCCUACACCUGCUGCCUCAGACUUUACUAUCAUGUGUUGGGACUUACAGUUUUAUUCUUAUAUCUCUACGUUUUCUCUCUACACCACUCAUAUUGCAAUUAAAAAAAUAUAAAUUGAAAGUCAGACUAAAGGCCGCGAAACAAUUUUUCUCUCAAUUUCGUUUCCACCAAUUCUUUGUUGCUUGAAUCGAUCACAAUCUCUGUCCACACAAAAUUGGCCACUAAAUCCAUUUUUGGUGCCAAUUUUAUCAAUCGUGGCUCCGUUUCAUAAAAACAAAUGCGUUUCUUUCGUUGGGCGAGAUAUUUUUGGCCAAAUCUGAUCACUACGUUUGUCGUCUCAAAAAAAUAGUAUUAUUUUUGGAUUUCUCUUGUCGAAACUUACAAGAAGAACUACUCAUUUACAUUUUUCAUUGAAGUUGAAGUCGGACACUUAUGGCACUCGGAUGUGGAGAUUAUUUUAUCAUAAUAUAAGUAGGGUCUAACAAGCCUAGUGAUUUCGAGGAAGUACAACUGAAUGCGCCUGAUCAUGGAAGUCUGCUGUUGAGCCUUAAGGCAAAAUUGUUAGACAUUGGAGAUAUUCGGAUGGAGAAUUCCUAGGUGACUAGGAGGUAGCACUCCAAAUGUCGACAACUACCAUGCAACACACAUUUACCUCUACUUUUGCAUAUAUGUGACUCAGAUGGAGUUGAGGGUGAAGUAGUAAUAUCGAUUUACAAGGAAUGGGGUUUAAAUUGUAAAUGUUUCUAUUUAAAAAUUCCUGAAAAACUUAAGGAUUUUACUUAGGAAUGAUCUUGGUUAAGAAAACAAAAAACGGAGAAUGUUAUUGGUUAGCUUGAAAACAAAAAUUCAGUUUAUGUUUUAAUUCAAGUAAUCAAUCAGACUUAAUAACUAAGGAGAUAAGAGAACUAAUAUAUGUGAAUAAAAAUAUGUGAAUAAAAAUAUUCAGCUUUUGAAUACUUUUUAAAAUCUAUUUGACUGGGAUGGUUUAUUCGUUCAUGAUCAGUUUUAUCUUGUGUUUAAUGAUCCUUUAUGCUUCACAUAAAUUUGUUGAUGUUAAAUCUUUGAUCUGGAAACUCGACUCUGUUCAAAUCAAUUUGGAGAAUGAUGAUGAACUUCUACAGAUAUAAGGAGAUUGAUACCGAGCUUCUGCAGAAUUAUGGAGAUUGAUAAUUGAUCUAGAUUGUCAGUCUUGUACUUUCAGGAGAUUGAUGAUCAAUCUUGAGGUUCAUUGUUUGAUCAUUCUGGACGACUUCUCGAUCAAUCUGGAUGACUUUGUACAUACCAAAAUUGAUUAACUUUCUUGACAAUUAAGUUGGAGAAGUUUCAUACUUGUUUUAUCUUUUUUGAUUCAUGAGUUUUUAUCUUAGUGAUUCGAAUGCCUUCUUUGACUAGAAUGAAUCAUACUUGUUCCUUGCCAAGUACUGAUAACAUUAGCAUGAAAUUCAGAGGCAGAAUCUUUUAUGAACUAAUGCAGAUUGAUUAAUCUUGAGGCUGUGAUGAUCAGUCUUGAUCUUGGAGAACAUUCUCCGUUUUAUCUAGAAUGUUCUUGUUUCUUUAUCUGUUCAGUUUUUAUCUGAUUUCUUUGCUUUGCUUGAUUCCUAUCUUUGAAUUAAUUAACUCAAAAGCACAAGUUAAAUUAACAUAAUAUUUUAAAAUCAUAAUUAACAUUCUUAAUUAACCUUUAUUUAUUUUCAUCAAAACUUUAAUUUGAGAGUUUGUCUUAACAGAUGGGAUCUACGAGGAUAUGACCAAUUUGAAUUGUCCGUCCACCGGGAUAGUGUCAUGGUAUCAAGCCUCCUAACCAAGUACUUCAGAGUUAAAAUGGUACCACUUUGUGAAGUAGAGUCUAAGCUCAUGCAUAACAUUGCAUUUUCUUGUGAUUGUUUUUGUGUGAUUAAUGGGUAUCAUGUGCAAUAAUAAUUUCUCUUAGAAGAUUUGAUGUUAUAGUGAAAUGUAUUAAUUUUUUUUGGAGAGGUUUUAGAUUUAUAAUGUGAGUUAUUUCCUUGAAGAAUGUUUGUGUAACGAUACAGUUUGUUUAUGAUUAAUUGUGUGUUCUUCUUGCGUACUUAUAUUAUACUAUUAACAUGAUUUCAAAACUCAUCUCCUUCGUUGUUUAUGUUUGACUGACUCGACCUUGCGUUGAAGUUCAAGUUGGGAGAAACCCCACUCUGAUAGGUGAUAAUAGGAAUAAGAGUUUUGAAUUGUAUUUUACUUUUACUUUUUAUUAGAAAUGACUUUUUGUAUGAAAAUCUUAUAAGCACUAGUAAGUUUUUGGAAUUAAAUUAAGAAAUUUUAGUUAAAUCAAAUAUAUGGAGAUUGCAUCAUUUUAUAAGAGGUAACAGUUUAAAGUGUUGUUUUUUGAAUUUUGAGAAACUUGAUAACCUAAAUUAAUUAAAAAAAGUUUUUUAUUUACUUGAAAAUAUAUCUUCUUUAUCAGUUGCUAAUGUAUCAAAAACAAAAAAAAAAAUCUACUAAAAAUUAUUAUAUAUUAUUUUGGGGUUUAGGGUGUCACAUUAGUGGUAUCAGAGCAUGUAUGUCCAAUGAGAACGAGUGAGUCGAGUGUUGAUUCAUUAAUCGAAUGUUAGUCGUGUCGGUUGUGUUUUGUUAUGUAUUAAUAAUUUUCAAUAUCAUAAUUUUUUUUCCCGUUAUAUUAUUGUAUUAUGCACAAUAUACUUUUGUAUGCUUUUAAUAUUUUUGAAGUUACUAAUUAACAAUUUAUUUCUUGUUUAUUUUGAUUGUAAUGCACAUUCUUAAUUUCUAUCUAAAUGUCUAAAUAUAACAUGAAUUGUUGACAAUACAAACCUUUUGAUUGGACUUGUGGUUUGAGUUUCGAACUUCGAUUAUUUGUUUUUGUUAGAGUGGUAAUUAGAAAUAAUUUUUUUUAUUGACUAGCUAUAUCAUUGAAAUUAUUAAUUUAAUUGGGGUAAUAUUAAUUAUCGAUUAUAGAUCUUGCCUUUUGGGAUCAUAGCAUGAUUAUAAAAAUUUUGGUAAAUUAAUUUAGAACGUUGUUGUGAGUUUUUAGAAUUUAAAAAAAAAAUUCGAUGAGGGAGUUAAAAUUGGCUUAUUUUGUAGAAUGAAAAUAACUUUUAUUUGAAUUACUUUUGAUUAUUUUAAAGAAAUUACAUUGAGUUGGAUUUUUGAUGAUUUAUAAAAUAAUAAUAAUUCUAUAUUCUUGAUUUUAUUUAACGUUUAAAAUAGCUAAAAAUUUACACCAUAUUUUAUUACAUGUUAUUUUUAAGAAGAAAAAAAAAAGAUUUGUUGUUUAUAUGGUUUAGAGGGCCUCAUGUAAAUAUUGGAUCUUGAGAGUGUCGAAAUAUUUAUUUGAAAUAAUUGAUUUUUUAAUUAUGAUUUUGUGAACUCAUUAGAGUUUAACUUGAUGUUUAGGCUUGAAGAAUUCAUUAGAGAUUUAUAAUUGUGUUAAUAAAAAAAGUAAAAUGAUAAAAUGUCUAUUAAUUGAAAAAGAAAAGAAAAAUAAAAACAAUGAUUUUAAAACAAUUAUCUCAAUAGUUAAACUCCUUUUGAAAAAUUAUCUAAAUUUUAGAUAAUCGAUUUAUUUUAUGAGUAGAAUGUUUUUUUUUUUUGAGUAGAAAUGUAGUUUUUGUGUUAUCAUUGUCAAAAUGUAUAUUUGAGUUUAAUAUGAGAAGAUGAUAUGUUGUUUAUAUAUUUUUUCUUGUUACAUGAAUUAACCUAACAAAAUGAUAUGCAUCAUGUAGAUUGGUAUGUGUAAAGUGUAUCAUGUAGAUUGAUAUGUGUAUAGAGAUUAAAAUUUAUUUUAUCCAUUUUAUUAAUUAUAAAAUUGCAUUUUUUUUUAUUAGGGAUCUAAUUUUUAAGAUUAAAAUAGACCUCUAAAAUCUUUAAAAUUUAUGGUGUGUUUUGUUUUAGAUCAAUUUUAUGGCUUGAUAGAAACUCGAGAUGUAUCUAUACGCCUAUUGAGUACUUGAUGUGAGAGGAAGUUGUUAUUUUGUAGAUUUGUCAAUUAGUGUUAUCAUAACCAAAUAUGUCUUAUGAUUUGUGUCAUGUGCACAACUACUUUAAUGUAGAAAAGUAUAUGAUUUUUUUUUGUAAGUAUUGAGAAAAGAAAUUGGAACUAUUUCAGAUGUGUUAAUUAAUUGAAAAAUUUCCUAUCUAUCUAUAUAUAUAAUUGAAAUUUUCUUUCAAAAGAUAAGUUGAAAAUAAUUAUUUUAUAGUGAUUAUUUAUAUAAAAAUGUGUUUUCGAUGAUUAAAGUACAAGUGAAAUUUUAGAAAUCUUAUAGAUUUUUAAAAUACAUGUAAUUUAUUAUUUUUGUUUUAUUUUUUAUUUAGACGUGAUUUAUUGAAAAAUAGUUUAAGGAAAAAAACUUUGAAUUCUCAAUGAAUUUUUGUUGUGCUAAAUGAUUAGUGAUACAUUUUAUAAUAAUUUAAGUGUAGAAAUCAAUUUUUAAAAUUACGUGUAACCUUUAAAGUGGUUUAUGUACUACCUAAUUCAAUUUGGUUUGAUAGCGUGUUGAAUCUUUUCGUAAAUAAAUAUUUCGCUAUAUGGAAAAUAUUUCCUUUAGUUUGUUGUAACUUUUAAAUGAUGAAGAUUAACUCAAAAGAAAAUUUAGUCGUGGUCAAUUUGGAACAUGUGUGAAGAAUCAUCGUUUGAGUUAUGAGAUGAACAAAUCUUGAUGCUAAUUUUUGGAUUAGUUAUGUGAUGGUGUAUACGAUUAUCUAAAUAUCAAAUUGUUUGUGUUUCAAGUGUUCUAUUUAUUGGGAAUUAGUAUAUAGAGUAAGAGUAUUCGAGAGUAUUUAAAAGUGAAAUAAUUUUAUAUUUUUUUAUCCAAUUAUUGAUUAUAUAUUGAUGCAAUUGUCUUUGUUACUACUCGUUGUGACACCGUAAACUCAAAAAUAUUAUGUUCAUUAAAAAAAUGAGCAUGUCAUUGCAUUGCAUAAUAUUCUUAAAAUAUUAUGUUAUUGAUGUAUGUGAAUUGUCUCAUAGUGUGUAUAAUUAAAUAUUUACUGUGUUAUAUGUUAUGAAGAUUUCAUAUGAUUUCAAUGUUCAUCUCUCAUGCUCUAUGUUUGGCGCUGCUAAACACAUAAACUUUUAACAUGCUUCAAGUGACACUUAGAGUCAAAGCAGAAGACAUGCUUUAUUGAAGUUUUACUAUUAUUUAUAUAUGUAUCGAACAUUUUAACUUUGGAAAUCAUACUAUGAUGGGUGACAUUUGGUUUUGGUAAAUAAUUAUUUUGUCAAAUUUGGUUAUAUUCUAUCGUUUACGAAUUCUCAUGUUCCACGAAUUUAAUUUGAUAUAAUUCUAAUAUUAUGAUUUUAUUGAGACUAUUUAGGUGAGUGUUUAUGACAUGUAUGUGGUAUUCUAUGCCUCUACAUAAUAUUUUGAAAACUCAUAUUUAUAUUUAUCGUAAACUAAACUAUACUGCAUAUAAAAAAAAUAAAGUUAUGUAAUUCUUGAGCAUUUGUUAUGCUCAUUCAAUAAUCCUUAUAUAUUUGAAUUAUAAUUUUCAUCAUACAACUCGCAUUUUAGGUGCUACCAGCAAAACGAGUUCCGCAAAAAUUCUCAAAAUAACAAAUAUAAAGUUUAUGAUUCAGAGAUAUUUAUAUUCUAGUUAUAUUAGGCCGUUACCAAGUGACAUGGAGUUUUAGAGUGUUUUUGAAAUUAGACAUUUGUAAAUGUUUAAGUUGAUACUCUUUUCAAAUAAAAUGUUUUGUAUAAUAUUUAUUAAAUAAAUAGUUUUUAUUUUUUAACAAAUUUUCUAUUAUAUAUAUUUUAACGUUAUUUCCGCAAAUAUAGGCAGAGGGUGUCACAACUAGCCUCUAGUGGAAAACAUAAGAGCAUGAACUCAACAUAACUUAAUUAAAUAGAAUAUGUGUCACGUCAUCUUAAAUCAUUCAUUUUUUACUCUAAAUGUUUAACUCUUAAAAAUCAUAUAGGUCCCACAACUUUAAUUCAUACAUUAAUAUAUCAUUUUUAUUUCAUUUCAUUACAACUUUAAAUAUCAAUUUUCAUAUUUUAAUUAAUAUUAUACAUUAAUUUAAAUUUAAAAUAAAAAUAAUAACGGUCAUAAAUUAAAAAAUAUAAUAUUUAUAAAUUUAUUAUUAUUAAAUUGUGAGAGUACCAUUAUCUGUUAUAGCACCAAAAACUAAAUUUUACAUAUUUUUUUGUCGUGAACAAAGAUAGUUGUCAAUCCUUAGAUAUACUCUAAGGAUGUUUCUAGUGGAAACAUAGAAGUGUAUCUAGGAUUUGCCAACUAAAAUGAUUGUCAUCCUAGUUAGAAGAAAAUCAAUUUCGAAGAAGUAAACACAAAAUGUUUUGUGAUGUUUCAAAGAAGCAUCUUUUGCAUGUGCAAUUUAUGCAUGAUUUGCCCAAUUAACUACUCUCCUUAUGCUUGAAACGAACAAAACAUUAUUUGAUCCUACAAGCAAUCAACUUUUGGAUAAAUAAUAUAAAGUAAAAGAGGAAAUAUUCAAAUCCCAAAAAGGAUAAUGCCUUAAAUAGUACAAUCAUACUUUACAAAUCAAUAUAAAAUAUAACUUCACUAUUUGAAUGAAGAAGAAAACAAAGAUAAAGAAGAAACACUGAGUCUUACAUUAUUAUGCCUCGUAUAUUUCUAAAGUAUUUUCGAAACAGCUCAUGUUGAGUGUUUUUUACUUAAUUUUAAAAGAAUUUUUUAUUUAUUUAUAAUUAAUGAAUACAUAAAUACCAAGCGCAAUCAUUUUUACACUCUUUUGAGCAUUUACUCAACUAUUGGUCCACGUUAUUAUUAUUGAAUUUUUUUCACAAGCAACCCGUCCAUUUGAUCAAAUUUGGUUUCAUACAUUUUAAAAUUAAAAGUCUUUUUUUAAAUCGAUGUCUAUAGACUUAACUAUAGACGAAACUUUAUUCUUGUCUAUAAAUAAUUGUAAAAAACGGACUAUGACAAUUAAACUCUAAAUAAUGUUAUAGUAAAAUAUGAUAUAUAAUAAAACACAAUAGAAUUAACAUAAAUAAGUUUUCAUUUUUUUUUUGUCUAUAGUUAAAUGAUAAAAAAUUUGCACUCAAUAUAUUCAAAACAUGAAAUUCGAUAUAUAACAUUUUUCAGUUGAACUAAAUUUUCUAGAUGAUCGUCUAUUUUUAUGCUACUUGAUAUAAUUUUAUUUGAUCUACCAUAAAAAAAAAAAAAAUUAUCUUAUAAAAUAUAUUCUUUGAAAGUAAAAUUUGUCCAAUAUAUUUCGUACCUUACGGUGAAGCUUCCUCCUCUCAUCUUAAACUUUUUACGUAAAAAUUAUAUUUAAUAUAAGAUCUCACAAUUUUUUAAUUUAUUAGAGUCAAACAAAUACUCUGUAUAAGAAUUACAAAAAUCAUUGCAGCAGCCAUAUCAGACACGACAUAAGAUAACAUGUAAAGUUUUUCAAAGUUUGUUACGGACAAAGGACAAGAAACUUGAGUCAUUUUGUAAAUUAUAAUGAUAAGAGUAACAUUAGUGUAUUAUAUGCUUUUUGAAGAGUAUCAAUAAUUAUCAUUAAUAUUUUGGAUCAUUGAUGAUACAUUAUAUAUUAAAAUAGUGUAAAUAAUUUUAGAUGAUUUAUGAUAUAUUAUCAUAGAAUUUUGAAGAGUGUAAAUAAUUAUCGUUAAUAUUUUAGAUAAUUUAUGAUAUAUUAUUUAUUAAAUUGGUUCAUUGUACAAUUUACUAUAUUUCAUAUUAUAAAAUAAUAAAAAUGGAGAUCAAUAAAUAUUAACUUCUCUAAAACAAAAUACAAGCAAAAAGAUGUAUUAUAUUAAAUUUUUUUAAAGAAAAUUUAAAGUGAGGAAAAUAUAUCUUAAUUUAUUAAAUACUUACAAAAAAAAAUUUACUUUAACCAUUUUAAUCACAUUAUCAUAUAUCAAAUUCACAUUCUACGAGUCAACUAUCUAUCUCUUUAUCAUUAAACCAAAAAAUUAAAAUCAAUAUUAAUUUUAAAUUAAAUACAUUAAUUUUUUGAUAGUAGAAAAUAUUAAAUAUAUUAAGUAAAAGAUGAAGGUAGUGUCCAGCUAAUAAGCUACUUAGUUUAUUGGAUAUUGUUAAAAUUUCAUGCAUAGGUUGCUGUCUCUAUCAAAUCCAAAUCCACGUUUCAUAACCAACUUGGGUCGCAUUGGUCCAAAGAAUCUUACUUAUAUUCAAAAAAGCAGGCCAUUAUUUUUCAAUAAUAGUGUGUGUAUUUUUUAUGAUCGGUGAAUAUACUAGUAUUUUUAGUUUGUUAGAUGUUGAAAACUAUGUGAAUUGUAAUAUGUAUAAAAAUCAAAGUACACCAACCAAGACAAAUAUUGAGGUUAAAAGGGUAGAGAAAAAAACUAUAUAAAGGGUGAUGCUAUCUUCCAUAAUUGCAAUACCAAAACCCACUUUGGGAAAACAUGGGGUCACUAAUGGCCUCUACUAAUCUUAUUAUUGCAUUCACAAUAAUGUCUCUUGCUUUUGCUUCUCAAAUUUCAGCAAAUAAUUAUAUCUAUUCAUCUCCACCACCACCGUCACCAAAGCCUUACUACUACCACUCACCGCCACCACCAGUGCACUCUCCUCCACCUCCUUACCAUUACAUUUCACCACCGCCGCCACCAAAGAAGCCGUACAAAUACCAUUCUCCUCCUCCACCAGUUUACAAGUACAAGUCUCCACCACCACCCUAUAAAUACCCUUCUCCACCACCACCACCAAAAAAACCUUACAAAUAUCUCUCUCCUCCACCACCAGUUUACAAAUCUCCUCCUCCUCCUUAUAAGUACCCUUCUCCUCCACCUCCACCGUAUAAAUAUCCAUCUCCACCACCACCAGUUUAUAAGUACAAAUCACCUCCUCCACCAGUGUAUAAAUACAAAUCUCCUCCACCUCCACCUAAAAAGCCAUAUAAGUAUCCAUCUCCACCUCCCCCUGUUUAUAAAUACAAAUCUCCACCACCACCAGUUUACAAGUACAAAUCACCUCCUCCACCAGUGUAUAAGUACAAAUCUCCUCCACCUCCACCUAAAAAGCCAUAUAAGUAUCCAUCUCCACCUCCCCCCGUUUACAAAUACAAAUCUCCACCACCACCGGUGUACAAAUCUCCACCUCCUCCCGUUUACAAAUACAAGUCACCACCACCCCCAGUGUACAAAUACAAAUCUCCACCUCCCCCCGUUUACAAAUACAAGUCACCACCACCCCCAGUGUACAAGUACAAAUCUCCACCACCACCAGUGUAUAAAUCUCCACCACCACCCUACAAGCAUAUAUCUCCACCACCAACGCCCAAGAAACCAUACAAGUACCCAUCACCACCACCACCAGUUUAUAAAUACAAAUCUCCACCACCACCAUACAAGUACCCAUCCCCACCACCACCUCCGUACAAAUAUCCAUCACCACCACCACCAGUCUACAAAUAUAAGUCUCCCCCACCACCGUACAAGUACCCAUCACCUCCACCGCCACCAUACAAAUAUCCAUCACCACCACCUCCAGUUUACAAGUAUAAGUCCC